GCUCAGAAGCGGGCUGCACAGUAUACUUUUUUAAUAAGAUUUAGAGUAGAUCAACAAGAGGAGGUAAGGAGUUGACAGGAGAGGAAGACUGGGCAUAAUUGAGAUAGCAUUAGAGCAGAUCAAGACCAAGAUUAUAGUUCUAGAGGCUAUGUAUCAAAGAUGAAAGGAUUAGCACUUGUCACGUGUACCUGAAAGUGCCCAGACUCCAGUCUACUCAACGGUGAGAACUGAGGAUAUCAGUUAUGGGGAGAUCAACAUCAGAACCAAGAAAAAUAAACCAACAACCAAAGGGAGUGAUCCAUGUGCUGUGUACUCAGCUGUAAGGACAAAUGAUGUUAAUUAUGGAGAGAUAAUCAUCAGAGAGAAGAGAAACAGAGAUAUCUUACCAGAACCAGAUGUUGUCUAUUCUUCACUCAAGUAGUCCAGAUGACAUCCAACAGCCACCUCUCACCUCAUUCCCCCAUAAACAAACAUCAGUUUUUAUCUAAAGAUUUUAAUUCUGUACAUGUUUUUGUAAGUCAAACAUUUUCUUUAAAUAUGUUCUUCUUGUUAUUGAAGCUAGGGUAAAAAAACAAUGUUACAUGGCUGUAUUUUCAUGGUACAAAGACUUUCCUAACUGUUGUCAGUGAAUAGUUUUCAUUUUUAAAUACGAACUUCAUGUCUCACACUAAAGCACAUUAGUUCCUUAUUGAGUUUCUCUUUUUUAAAAAUGUGGCUAUAAAGGUUUGAAUGAAAAAAGACAGGAAGUAUGACUUCUGCUUUCAACUGAAAUAAAACCAUUCAGACAAGAUU
Fundulus heteroclitus (mummichog) is the source of this 792-nucleotide long non-coding RNA. RefSeq lists it as uncharacterized. NCBI's taxonomy places the organism in Eukaryota, Metazoa, Chordata, Actinopteri, Cyprinodontiformes, Fundulidae. The transcript has 4 exons. The record is from RefSeq and is a predicted model, not a curated record.